RNAcentral lists this ribosomal RNA (247 nucleotides) under uncultured bacterium. RNAcentral describes it as "partial 16S ribosomal RNA". It matches the Rfam family "Bacterial small subunit ribosomal RNA", at positions 523 to 769 of the family's 1533-position model. The record is from RNAcentral.
AUACGUAGGUGGCGAGCGUUGUCCGGAUUUACUGGGCGUAAAGGAUGCGUAGGUGGUAACUUAAGUGGGAUGUGAAAUCCCCGGGCUCAACCCGGGAACUGCAUUCCAAACUGAGUAACUAGAGUGCAGGAGAGGAAAGCGGAAUUCCUAGUGUAGCGGUGAAAUGCGUAGAUAUUAGGAGGAACACCAGUGGCGAAGGCGGCUUUCUGGACUGUAACUGACACUGAGGCAUGAAAGCGUGGGGAGC